CCCCGAAUAACCAAAAGUAAGGAAGACUGUGAACCUACAGUUUGGAGGAUGCAAAUGCAAUGGUAGCCUCGAUGAAAUCAGCUAUCUAUAGCCUAUUCUGAGCCUGAAAUGGGUGGAAAAGAGGGUGGUGACAUUAUAUAAUCCCAGUGAGUAAACAAAUACCAUCUAAAAUAUCUAAAGCCGAGUAAAUGGAGACAGAUAAAAUAGUUUAACAUACUGUAAUUCAUCACCUUUCAACUUGUUUUAAUCAAACAAAAUCAAUUCAUAUAAAUCGAGUAAUCAACAUGGCUUAUGAAUUUCUUAAAACUUUGGCUCGUGCCAAAAUCACUCUUAUACUCAGUUAUCAGGGAUACCUUGAUCGAGGGCUAUCCCAACCGAAUCUGCCAAGGCUGUUAAAAAGUUACGUACGCAUAAAUCAUAUUUUUAUUUUGAAAACAUAGUCGUUCCUUGGCGUUGGCUGAGUUCACCCUCACGUGGUGGUUUGGCGUGAAGUGAACUCUAAAGUGUUAACCUCAGGAGUUAUCCAUCCGCGCCUCUCAUACUGAGGUAUGAAUAUAAUAGGGUUAUCGUGCCCCUCUAAUAGGCUGGUCCACGGAACCCGUCCACUGCAGUCGACUAAUUUAUAACCCACCAUACAAUAAAAUUUGUAAUAGCAUGACAUGGCAAUUAUUUUAUUUUAUAGCCUCUCAAGGCAAAUUAACAGUUCAUACAUUUUCAAUACAAAUACUAAUUCAGCCAUUCAUGCAAAUAUUAUUAUAAGCCAUUCAAUUCAAACCAUGAUUUAUAACACAAUAAUUAGUCUCUAAUUACUCCAUUUUCAAAACCAUCAUUCAACUUCAAAACAAUUUUAUAAAAUCAUUUCAUUUAAACACAUUUUGUUUAUGAAACCUAAAGAUUUACCAUUUAAACUCAUUUUUCAUAAAAUCACAAAAUCGGAUAAAAACCACUUAGAUAAUUAAGACGAUAGUAAGGUUACUCACUUUUUCAAGAGUCGAAUUUCGAGUACUCUGAUUCUUGAUCCUUGGGUACUAUCUCUUUACUUUUGCCAGAAUGCUCACCACCUAGACAUAAUGCACAAUAAGCCAUUUACUACAUUUGUGCUAAAUUGUUAUAAAACCAAUUCAAGCUCUAUACUGAUGCAUGAAAUUUUCUAAAUACAGUGUUCAAUAUAAAUCAAUUAUGUACCUAAAUAAAACGGUAUUAACCUAAUUCGAUCUAUCACCUGAUUAAUUGGCCAAUACGUCCAAUUCAACUCCAAUUAACUCCAUUUUUCUUCCAAUUCUCCAAACCAUCAAACAGAAGUUAAAUAACUUGAAAUAUGGCAAAAUCAUCCUCACAUUUUCUCUUGGAAAAUUCGGCCAUGGUGGGUGCAUCAACACUAUAAUUUUUCCUACUUGAUUCUUACACCAUAAAUCACUAAUUCUUAACCAAAUCACUUAAAAAUAAAUCAAAAUCAUCAUUGAUAUUCCACAUGGAGAAUUCGGCCAAUGAUGGGUGAUGGAAGAACAUGAAUUUUUCUUGCUUGAUUUUCAUGCUACACAUCACCAAUCAACUAAAAACACUAAAAUACAUUAAAAUCUAACCAAACCAAGAAUCAAAACCUCUCUUUAAGUGUUCAUCCAUCAAGAUACCCAUCAUGAAAUCAUGUGAUUCAACCAUGGAAAAUGCAAAAGAAUGUAUGGGAAAGGUAGAUCACAAGCUAGAAUUGAAAAAUCUUACCUUUUGUCACUUGUUUCCUUGAAUUUUCACACUUUUCCCUUGAAUUUUUCCACCUAGGGUUUUUGUUCGGCUUUGAAUGUGUACAUGUAAACUAGAUGUAUCUUGCUAAGAAUCAUUUGGCAAACUAUUUAUGUAUAUUCCGAUUAAUGAAUACCAUUAUGAGUAUAUACUUGGAUUUUAUGAAUUAAUUUCAAUGAAGUUAUUAUUUGAACAUUAUGAUUUAUAGAUCUUAAAAAGGGAGUAUGGAUGAUACAUGGACUAAUGUACAGGUUCAUACAGGAAGGCUUGCUAGGGCCUAGUGGGCUAUGCCUAUUAGGUCUUUGCGCCAAUCAUGGCCCAAAAAUUUAGGCUGUGACAUUUCUCUUGUCUCUUUGGUCGGUCCUUUAGCUUUAAUGGAGUCAACAUAUUUUUUGCUCCAUCCUUGAUGAAGGAAUAAGUAUUCUUGUAUCCAUCAUGGUGAGCUCAACAAUCAUAUAGCCAUUGGCGUCCCAACAACAGGUAGCAUGCAUCCAUCGGGAUAACAUCACACUAGACUUCAUCUUCAUACUUAUUUCCAAUAGAGAAUUGAACACAACAACGCUUUGUUACCUUAACUUCAUUUCCUUUUCUCAGCCAUUGUAGCUUGUAAGGAAGAGGAUGUACUUUAGUUGGAAGUUUCAACUUUUGCACCAUGUAGUUGGUAACAAAAAUUCUCACAACUUCCACUAUCAAUAAUGACAUUACAAACCUUCCCUUGGGAUGUGCACCUUGUAUAAAAUAUGUUGUGACAAAGCCAACUUUCAUCUUCAAUCAUCAUAGUAGUGUUGAGGUUACGACGACCAACAAAAGCUUCUCCAUGGUCAGCAGAAACUUCUUCUAUCUCUUCGUUGUUGACUAUUUCUAGCUCAUCAUCUACUUCUUGUAGGCUAGGUUUUUCCAUAACUUCUUUUUCAACUAAAGAGAUAAUUCUUCGAUUUGGACAAUCAUAACCAAUAUGGCUAAAUCUUGGGCAUAUUGAAACAUUUUUUGUUGACAUUAGAAGCACAAGUAGAAGUAGUCUCUUUAUUGUUUUGAGUUUUGGAAGAGUUUACCUUUGGAGGUGGAAUGGUUGUUGGACUAUGUCUUCCACGGUUUGAGGUGGAAUCUUUCUAUCUAGAUGAACUCAUUUAGCUUUUCCGUAAUUGUUGUUUCUCAACCUUUAAUUCUAAUCUGAUAACAUCAUUUAAGUUCCAAUAUGGUUGUAGUUGAACAACAUCAGCAAUUUCAACAUUGAGACCCCCAAGAUAACAAGCUACAAUUUGUUCUUCAGGUUCAUGGACAUCACACUUCAUGUGAAGUUGUUCGAACUCCAUUGUAUAUUCUUUCACUAACAUUGUUUUUUGCCUCAUGUUAUGAAAUUUGAUAAAACUUUCUUGUCGAUAAUGCCCAAGAAGGAACUUACGCUUAAGUUCUCGAUGCAUCUUAUCCCAUGUUCUGAUCUUGUUGCGGCCUUAUCUUUCUCAUGGUCGUUUAAGAUUUUCCCACCAAAUAGAAGCAUGCUUGUUCAAUUUAAUUGCCACAAGCUUCACACGUUUUUCAUCAGGAAUAUCUUUGAGCUUGAAAACUCUUGCCACUAUGUAGAGUUAGUCAAGAAAGUCAUCAAGGUGAAGUCUUCCUUCAAACUCAAGAAUGUCAACUUUGAUUCCCAAAUCUUUGUUAGUAGCAAUUCUCAAGCGACAAAUAGGUACUUCUUCAUCAAAUGAUGAAUUUUGAUGAAACAAGUUGGUGCCAUUCUCUUCAUCACUAAAGCUGCUAUUAUUGAUUUGAGCAUCAAGUCUUGCGAGUUGCUCUUGUAAUUCUUGAAUUUGCUGACAUAGUUCUGCAAUCUCAAUCUCAUGAUCAUCUUUUUGACGAUUUUGAUGUCUUGGCAGCAUUUUACUGUAUGGUGAUGACGAUGUGGUGAUGUAGAAAAAAAGAUGACGAUAUAAAUAUAAAGCAAUAAAUUAAAUUACCCGAACAGGGAGUAUCAAAAAUCGAUAGCGAACCUGAAUUAUGCAGUGAACAAUGAUCCUCCUGCUCUAAUUCCAAACUAAAAUCGCGGCAUUGUAAAGACACUUGGGCAUUGUGAAAGACACUAAUCGUGGCGAGGUUGGAAACCUCAUUAAGGUGAAUCACCAAUCUUGGCAAGGUUGAAAGCCCCACUAAGGUGAAAAAUAGCCAAAAUUCCACUUUGGUUGGAUAGGCCAAAGAUACUAAAAACCUUUUACUCUUUAAAAAGAGCCUAAAGAAAUAAGCACUCCUACUUAAGAAAAUAUUCUUUAUUAAUUCUCAACUUGAAUGUGAAUAAUAAGUAAGCCUAAGGGUCCUAUUUAUAGUAUUAUAGGCCCAUAUCCUAGUAAAACUCUACUUCUAGUUGCCUAAUACAAUUAGAAUAAUUAACAAGAGAUUUAAAUAAAAUAGGUGUUCUAGUCCUAAAAGAACAUGAAUAGCUUAAAGUCCUAAUACAAGUAAAAGAAGAAUUUUAUUAUACCUAUAAUUCCUAAAUAAUUAUAAUCUAAUAAUAUACUCCUGUAUCACCCAGAUUCGUAAAAACUGAUAAAAAAAAUCCAUAGAAACCAAAGACUCAAUAUCUCACAUCCAUGUCAAGGAAUGACAAACUCAUUGAAUAAAAAAAUAUAAAGUAUAUUGACAAUGCCAAUAGCAAAAUGAUCAAAGAGAAUGUGUCUUUAAGAAAUAAGCUAAGAAAUGCGUCUUUAGCUUAGAGGAUCGAACAGAAAAUCUUUAAUCAAGCUUGGAAAAUUUUUUGUUUUUGAACAUAUUACUUGAGAUUUCACCUUAGAAAACAUUGCAUUUUUAUAUGCUAAAUUGAUUUGCUAAAAUUUAUUAGAGAGAAUAGUCAAAAUGGACUUGUUUGGACUUGAUUUUUACAUUUUCGAGCAGAAGUAUAAACACUUGAAGAACAUGCAUCGACACUUGCUAUCCAGAAAACUUUUAAAAGGAGUUUGGAUGAACAAAGUAUUGAGACAUGUUGAACAAGUAUCGAUACUUGACACCUAGGAACAAAAGUAUCGAUACUUUACGUCGUUUUCAAAAAAUAAAAGGGGUAAAAUAGUUUUUUUUCACUCAAAACUUACCUAAAUAAGUCUCCUAAAGCCUAUUCAACCUUAGCCCACCACCCUUAACCAUUUUGAGCAACUUUCAACCUUUUCUAAGCUCUUUUGCUUUUGGAAACUUCACUUUUAAAGAUUUAAGCUUAGUUAUGGUUGGUUUCAAAUUUUAGAAAACACUAAGGUAAAGAUUCUAGCUUUUAAACCCUUUAAGCUUGGUUUCAAACUUCUGAAUUUUUAUUUUUCACAAUAAAUUUACGUUUCUCUCUCUAAUAGUUUUCAACCCAAGUUGGUUUUCCUAGUCCACAAACUCACAAGGUAAAAAAUAUGGUGGUUUAGAGACUACAAAUCAUAUAUGAUGCUUGAAUAGUGGAUUAACUAGUAUAAAUGUUAAAUUAGGCUAGAUAUGGUUAGUUUUAAUGUUAAUCUAACCUUUGAAUUCGAGAUUCAUAAUUUAAGUUUCGGUUAAAAUGUGUUGUUACAGUUAUAAGAUCAUUGAAGCUCCAUGGAAUUAGCUAGAGUGAAGAUUGAUUAUUUGAUUGCAUGCAUUCGACAACUCGAUCGAGGUGGGUAGACGCGAUGCUUUCAAAUUUUUUGCUACGUAUAAAAACUAAGAUAUAUUGAGUUAUGGUUUUAUAUGAUUGUCAUGCUAUCUAUAUGAAUGAAAUAAUCAAGCUUUGAAAUAAAUGAUUUUCAAGAUAGUUUCAAAAGUAUGUAUGAUAUGUAAAUAUGAGUACUAUAUAUUACUUUUGAACAAGGGGGGACAAGCCUUUUCAAAUGUUUUCAUUCAAAGAAAUCCUAGAUAAGAUGAAUAAGUAGAGCCAAUGCACGACUAGGUCAUUGUCUAGGCGGAUGGAUGUAUGCCCACUCAGUAUUAAUGUCACGACCCAAAUUUCGGGCCAUGACUGGAGUAUAGGCCCAAUGGACAUAGUCCACUAAGCUCAAGCAAGCCUAUUAAUCUGAUGUAUUCAUCAUUCCAUCAUAAACUGCUAAGUCACAUUUCAUAACUUAGAGUCAAAAUAAUAUUAAACAUUUUCCACCUCAUACUGGCAUACCAAACAAGUGUAUAUACUUGUCUACAACAUGUAUCUUAAUAAUUUACAUUAGGUUUGUCUAUACACAACAAAAGAAUACUCGACUUCCAGCGGAGGGACUCGGACGAAUGUACAGCUACUGAAUGUCGAGACACCUACCAAAAGAUGGAUACAAGUCUACGAUGACACCUAGUUCUAGUUACCGCCUACCUCGUGAUCUGAAAACGUGAAGUUGAAAACGAUGAGUAUAAACCCAGUGAGUGAACAAGAAAGGGAACAAGCAUACCAUAAGGAAUGUUUAACGAAAUCAUGAUGUAUUCUUUUCAAAACAAUGCAAUUUGUUUUUGUUCUUAUUAAAACCCCACAUGAGUGAAUCACUUUAUGAAAGGAUUUGGAUAGUCAAAACUUUAAUAGCAUUCAUGCGAAUCAGGUCAAAUAAACGGCGGGUCCUCACUGCAGCGAGAAUGAAUUUUUACUGCAGUGACACUUGAUUUAAAUUAUCAACUAAUCGAGGGUUUCUUGACUGGCCGAGAGUUUCUCACCAAACCUCCUCAUAUUAAGCUUAAUUCAUUUAUUCCUUAAUGUUGGAAAUCCAUGCUCAAAUAUGGUAUCAAAAAAGUGGAAAAUAGGGCAACAAUUGAUCAAAAUGUGAGACAAAACAGAAAGUUUUUCACUGUAGCGAGAAUCAGAAUAUCAAGAAAAAAGUUUCCUUUUUCCCUUAAUCAAAGUCAUCCUGUUAAAAUAACAAAAGCAACAUGUAAUACAUACAAACUCCCAAAUUUCCACAAUUCAAAUGCUCACAUUUUUGCAUUACAACCAUAUACCAUAUAUGUAUAUAUAGAUAUAUAUAUAUAUAUAUAUAUAUAUAUAUCANNNNNNNNNNNNNNNNNNNNNNNNNNNNNNNNNNNNNNNNNNNNNNNNNNNCAUAUAUGUAUAUAUAUAUAUAUAUAUAUAUAUAUAUAUAUAUCAAUCAUCAUGUACAUCCUCCCAUCAUCAUCAUCUCAUAUGCAACGGCUUAUGCACACUCCCACUUGCACAUAGCUGGGUCAGCAACGGCUUAUGUGCACUCCCACUCGCACAUAGCCAGGUUAGCAACGACUUAUGUGCACUCCUGCUCGCACAUAGCCGGGUCAAUAUCAUUACACAACAUUAUUCGUAUAUAUAUCAACAUAGUGUAGUAGUUCAACCAUCCAUAACAACCACAUAUCACAUCAUAAAAUCAAUUUAUCAAAGGCUUGUUCCCAAAGCACUCAUUUUUAAAGAAACUUGAAUAAAAUCAUUCAAGUACAUAGUGCAAAUAGUUUAUAUUCCCAAAACAAAUUUUGAAAUGCAAGUCUACUCACCGGUAUAUUGUUGAGCCUUUAGCUAACUCUAAUCCCCCUAAUGAUCCAAUUAGGGUAAUAGGGCUUCGUUAGAACCUAGAAUCACAUUAGCAUCAGCAUUAUGUUAAUUCACACACUAUAAACCAUAAAAGCUAUCUCUUAACUAGCUUUCAAUUGCCAUUUUAAAUGGCUAUCUAUGUUCACUACCUAAUCACAUUAGAGUCAAUACACAAUCUCAACAAUAAACGCACAAAUCAAUCACUAAACAUUAUCAACACUUAAAAGUCAAUUCUAAUUUACUACUCACCUUGAUAGCUUUGUAACUUUGAUAUUCUUUCUAACAAUUCCCAAGCUUAUUAUACGGCUUUCUUUCUCUUUCUCUCUCUAAACACUUAACUAGUGAGAGAAAGUAUGGAAGUAGGAUUUUUCAAGGACUUUAAAGUGAGAAAGUGAAAGAAUAUAAGGGUUAUAGUCAAAAGGGCACAAAGGUAUGAAAACUAGAGUUAGAGAGAGAAAGUUAUGAAAGCUUCACAUCAAGCUUCCAUGGAGAAUGGAAGCAAUGUGAGAUGGGAAGAGGAGAAGAAGAAGAAGCUACUGGAAGGAGAAGAUAUUUAUAGCCCAAGCUUAUCCACUCCCAUUAAAUUACCAAAAUGCCCCUUCACAAUAUUAGCUUAUUCUCCUCCAAUCUUUUAUGCAAUCUUUUUGCUCUUUCGCACUAAGACAAGGUCCAUAAUGGUCUAGAAAUGCUCGGGUUCAUGAAAACUUAAAAAUUCUAACCCGAUGUGAAAAAUGACCAUUUUGCCCCUAUUGUGAAAAUCAUCAAAAUUUUUGUUUCCUUGUCAUUUUACCCAUAUUUUCUUCAUUCAUUUAUACCUUAAGCCUACCUAGGCCAUAAUAUUGUUUAAAAUCUUACUUUUAUGGGCUCACUAAGGAAAUGAUGAAAUUACCCUUGAUCAGGGAUAUCGCGUAUACUUUUAUCUAUGAGUCUAUAAAGGUCAAGGUCUCACAAUUAAUGUGAAUGUGGAUGGUUAGUAACCUACUUCUUGUGAUGUAAAUAUUGAUGGAUGUAUGCCCACUUAUAAUGAUUUGUAUAUGGAUGGUUAGUAGCCCAUUUAAUGUGAAAGAGUGUGGAUGGAUUAUAGCUUACCUCCUAGAUUAUGUAAGGUUGGAUGUAUAGAUAGCCACCAUUAAAGAAAUGCAAGGGUGGAUGGUUAAUUGCCCACCAAUGAAACGAUGAAUAAUUAUGAUGUGAGAGUAAGUCUAAUAUUAUGGUGUUUACCAAUUACAAAUGAGUAUAGUGAAUGAAUACGUUGAUAUGUAACUAUUAUGUGUUAUAAUGUGUAUUUGUAUAUGAGCAUGAUGUUGGGAUGAGCCUUGCAGCCAAUUGGGCAAGGUUAAGGCUUGAUUCCAAUCAUGCAACAGUAUCAUGAUGUUGAAUGAUUAGAGGUUUUCCUUCAUCAAUAAGACAUCAAUUAUAAUGAGUUAUAAGUCUAAUUGGAUGAAGUCCAUGAGAUUAAUAUGCCUUGCAAGGAAACUGUAAUGGGUUGCAGUUAUGAGAUUUCUAUGCAUUAAAGCAUAAACUCAAAAUGUUCCUAGUCAAUGAAUCAUUGAGACUGGACAUCAAUGAUGCUUAGAGACUGGUAUAUUCUAUGUUCUUUACUUUGGAAGCAAGCAAUCGAUCUCAUAAAUUGAAGUAUAGAGAUACUUGGAACUAGAAUGUAGGUGCUUGCUUAGAAGAGCAAGUUCAUUGAACAUGACCCGCCAUGAGAAGUGCAUUUGGUAAUACACUCUAGUGUCUAUGCAACACUUCUCAUGUGUCAGUUAUGUAAAUACUCCCUAGACUUGAGACACCAGGUUGUCUUAUGUGUGGAGUGCUAUGCUUUGAUUUCAUCCCUACGGGUGCCUAACCAAGGACGCCAAAACAGGAUGCUUUUGGGUAUAGUAUGAAGCAUGUGAAGGCAAAUAAGUGGUCAAGAUAGGAAUCAGUUCUUGGUUAACAUUAGCUUAUUGAAGUCCUUGGCCAAGGUGACAUGGAGAUUAUGAAAAAGGUUUCAUAACUCUCUAUAAAGCUAAUGCUAUAAUUGCAGGAACAAAUAUGGAGGUCCAUAAAAGUAGACACUGUACCAAGCUCUUAUCGUCUCUGGGAUAUAUGAUGUCACGAACCAGUACUCCCUUCGAGCUCGUGACAACCGUCGUAAUGUCUCGAUAGACAUUCAUUACCCGAAAUGUCAACUGAAACCUCACAAGGCUUUUACAUCAAUUUUACGUCUCCCUUGUGAGCAACAGUUAGUAAAUAUCAUGUUUUAAGGGAAUAUAAACUAUUUUUAAAUCAAAAACAAACAAAAGUAAUUUCUGCCACACAGGGGUAUUUUGGUCAUUUUUACUCAAAAAUUUUGAAACUUGGUGAAACUACAGCAUACAAUCGAAAAAUAUACAUUUCUCAUCUAAAAAUAAUUUUAGUAAUCUAAAUCAUCCAUUUAAAAUGAAAUUUUGGCUAAUCAAACUAAAUAAAAUAUUCCAUUUUCUUAUAAAACAAUAUUUAUAGAAUCUGCAUAAACAAUUUUUGUAGCGUAAGAGCAAAAUAAAUUCAUAAAUAUAAUAGCACACUAAACCAGGUAUACAAAAAUAUUCUACAAUGACAUGUGGGCUCCAAAAUAACCGAAACUAUACAAGAUUGUAGACCUUCGAUUUCUAAGGAUGCAAAUCCAAAAGCAACCCUCGACAAAAUCAGCUGUCUACAAACUGUCCUGAGCCUGAAAUGGAUAAAAAGAAGGGGUGAGUUUUUACAAACCCAAUGAGUAAGCAAAAUUCAUCUAUAACAUCUAAAACUGAGUAAAUGGAGACAAUUAAAUCAUCCCAUCAUAAUAUAGUUCAUAACAUUCAAAACUCAUUUCAAUUCCUAUAAAACAAUUACAUUUCAUCAAAAUAAUCAACAAGGCUUAUGAUUCUCUUAAAAACUUGGCUUGUGCCAAAACUCAUACGCAGUGACACCUUGGCCUAAGCAUCCAACCGAGUCCGUCAAGGAUGUUAAAAUGACAUAUACCCAUAAAACAUGUUUUUACUUUUAAAAUAUAGCCAUUCCUUGACGUUGGUUGAGUUUCAUCCUCACGUGGUGGUUCGGCAUGAAGUGAACUCUAAACUUACCUUAGAAGAUACCCUCCGCGCCUCUCAUACUAAGGUAAAAUAUAACGAGGUUUACCGUGCCCCUCUAAUAGGCUGAUCCACGAAAACCCGCCCACUGCAGUAAGCUAAAUACAUAACCCACCAAAUCAAUAAAAUUUCGGCAGCAUAACAUGGCUAAUAUAGUACUAUCCAACCUGUCAAUGUAAGACAAAACAAUUUAUAUAAUUCACAAAACCAUAAUUUCAGCCAUUCAUGCUACCACAAUUUCAUAAGCCAUCAAUUCAAAUCAUGUAUAUAUAUAUAAUACGAAUGUAUAGCCUCCACUUACUCUAUUUCGAAAAUCAACAUUUAGUUUCAGAAUAAUUUAUAAAUCUCAUUCAUUUAACCAACAUUUAAAAUGUAAAACAUAAUAAUUUGCAAAUUAAGUGACUUAUUCUUUAAAAUCUUAAAACAAGUAUAAACCACUUUAGAUAAUUAAGAUGAACAUCUGAUUACUCACAAUAGCAGGAGUUUGGAGUACUCCUAUUUUUGGUUCUCGGGCACAAUAUCUUUACCCUUAUUAGAGGGCUCACCACCUAUACAUAAUACAUGACACGUAAUUCAAUAUAUCUGUGCCAAACUGUUAUAAAACUAUUUCAAGCUCUAUAUGAAUGCAUGACAUUGAAUGAGAAUUGUUCGAAUAAUCACUUAAAGAUAGUGUUCUACGUGGGUUUAAUUAUGAUCGGACUGAAUUGGCAUUCGACCUAACUCACACUAUGCCUUGUUUAAUUAGCAAAAACAUCUAAUUCAACUCCAAAUAUCUUCAUUACACUUCAAAUAUUCCAAAUACACCAAAGUACCACAAUGAGCUUAAUUGUGACUUAAUUCACCAUAACCAAAAUUCAUUUCGAUUUUGAUAUCUGAUACCAUAAAUCAUCAAUUACGAGCUAAUUAACAUGAAAUACAACAAAAUCCAUCAUCGACAUGUCACCUAAUAAAUUUUUCCAAAGAGGGUUAUUGAAGAACAUGUGAUUUUCUUGCUUGUUUUUCCUUCCAAACAUCACAAAAUGACAAAAAACACUAGGAUAUUAUGAAAUCUAGCAAAAUUCAUCACCAAAACUUCUCUCUCUAGAUUUGGCCCGCAAAGGUUCCCUCCUGAAAACUUGAAUUUCAGCCAUGGAGAAUGAAAAAGAAUGCAUGGGAAAGGUAGAUCACAAGCUAAAAUUAAAAAAUCUUACCUUUACUUGCUUGAUUCCUUGAAAUCCAACAAAUUUUCUUGAAUUUUUCCUUCCUAGGGUUUGUUCUUCUCUUUUUCUCUUUGUUCCCUUGCUUGGUCGGCCAUAAGAGUGUGAAUUUGAAGGCUUUAAGUGAGUUUAUAUAGGCAAUUAAAAUAAUGUUAAAGCUUGACACUUGUCACCUUUUAAUUAGUUCAUGUUUAAAAACUUAACAAUUAAGCAUUUUCUCACCACCACAUAUAAUCUCUCACUUAAAAAAAUAAUGGGUGAAAUUCAAGGGUUUGACAAGUGUCAUGGUGGUGUAAAAUUCCAAAAUUUCCAAUUUCGCCCUCAUGGACACUUCAAAUGACCGUUUUAUCCCUAUGUUCGAAAAACUAUCAAAAUUGAAAUUUUUCACUUCUCAAAUUCAAAUAAUGCUCUAAUUAAUCAAAUUUAGUCAAAAUAUCAUCCAACAUUCUAAUUUUUCCCUUGAGUGGUAAAAUGACCAUUUUGCCCCUACGUUAUGAAAAUUCUCAAAUAAAUUCCAAAUCAGUGCUCGAAUUUCGAAUCAUCAUAUUAAGACAUACUAAGAUUCAAUAACUCUCAAAUACAUCGUAAAAUCUUUAUUUGGCCUAAUUCGAGGCUUUAAUCAACUUAAUUGUACCACUAGGUAUAAUAUCGACUUUUAACGAUUUUUCGAUACAUUCACUUAUGUAGAUAUGCUAUCAAGUACAUGAAUGACAUGACUAGUAUAUAAUAGAGUAGGGCUUGACAUAUGAUGAGGGAACGAAUUACACUGAUAGACUAUACACUGAAAGGUUGUCAAAGAACCCUUUGACUCUCCUAACAAUUGGGUGGCCAUGAUGCAUUGCUAGAUGCCAAUCUUGGUCUAUGGAAUUGAUUAUAAAUUAAUUGAUUGAAGCUUAUAUUAAUCAAUUAGGUCGUUAAUCAAUUCCAUUGCCAACAUGUUGGGAACCUAAUAGGUCACACACAAUUAUUGCAUUUGAAUUAAAUUGGGAGAGUGACGAUUUAAGUUAGACUUAAAUCACAUGCUAGGUAAUUAACUUCUAUAAACUUAAUUAAAAGAGUUUAAUUAAGUUUUUGGCAUAAUUAUAAAUAGUUAUAACUAUAAGGCCUUGAUUGCAAAUAUAAAGGAAAUUAAUUUAGAUUUUAAUUUUCAAGGACUUAAUUAAAAGAGUUUAACUAAGUAAUAGGCCCAAUAAUAUAAUGUGUUAUAAUAUUGAGGGCUUAAUUGCAAAAUUGAAGUUAUUUUAACCUAACUAUAUAAGUCAACUUUUAACUAUUUUUCAUGAUGAGAGUUUUUUCACAAUUGAAAAAAAACGUAGUUUUUGUCAGAAAAAGAAAAACGUUUUCUUUCUUUGCCACUACUCCCUUUGUGUGAAAGAGAAAAUUGCUUUUGAAGCAAUUUUCAAGAAAGGUUCGGCUAAGAUUAUGAAAAAGAAGAAAAAGGCAAUUGUUGUCCUCUUUGCUAGCACAAAGUAUAGUUAAAAACUCCUUCAUUUGUUGAAGGUUCAAGUGCAAUCGUGUGUACUACCAUUGGAGGCCAAGCACUUGAUUAGCUAGGGUUUUUGCUCCUUGUAGUGCUCGUGGGAUUGCUUCGAAAAGUGCCAUCGUAAUUACGAAAUUACAUGGCAAGGUAACUUUCUAAACAAUAAUUUAUUUUGUGCUUUUAUGUGUUAAAUAUCAUCAAGGUGAUCCAUGGGUGGAGGCAUGGUUUGUUGUUUAGUUAUAAAAUUUUUAAUUUUCUUUUUGCUGCGUGUUUUGAGCAUGCCAUCCAUAGCCAAACCCAUCAGUGGUAUAAGAGCCUUCCUUGGUUUGAUUUUAACACAUGUUUAUGUCUAUUGUUGUUAAUACCUUGUUGAAAAGGAAUAUGUGGUGUUCGGGUUUUCUUCUACAAAAAUUAGUAAGUUUUAAAAUUUUAUAAUUUGUUCUAGUUGUUUUGAUUUCUAGAUAGAUUCUAAUUGUAAAUUUUAAAAUUUAUUUGUCAUAAUAUUAAUCUCAUUUUAAUGUCAAAAUAUUGUAGAUUAACAAGUUCAUGAGAUACACAAAUUAAUUUAGCAAAUAUAGAUUCGAUCUCAUAACAUUAUGGUGUGAUUUAAAUGGUAUAAUUCGAUUCUGUCCAGCCAUGGUAUUGGUCCAUUUUCAGCCAUAAAAGUGAGGCUUAAGUGCUUCAUAAAAUGCAGGAAAAUUAAGAGAUCAAUACACAUUGGAAAUGUUCCAAGCUGGGUGAUUAUGUGUGGCUAAUGGUGGAGGUAAAGUUACCAAAAUGUGGCUAAAACAGUCGCUGUUUGCAACAGAGACAGUCAUAGUUUUGUUUGGCUUGAUUUAUAGUGGCACGUGGGCCCACGAACGACUAAAAGUAUCAAAAGCGGUAAACCUAGAGUUUUUGAGGAUGCAAAACCAACUGUAGCCCUCAACAAAGUGAGCUAUCUACCGACUAUCUUGAGCCUAAAAUGGGUAGAAAUGAGGGUGGUGAGAUUAUAUAAUCCUAGUGAGUAAACAAAUACCAUCUAAAAUAUCUAAAGUUGAGUAAAUGGAGACAGAUUAAAAUAGAUCAUCAUACUAUAAUUUAUCACCUUUCAACUCAUUUCAACCAAAUAAAAUCAAUUCAUAUAAAUCGAGUAAUCAACAUGGAUUAUGAAUUUCUUAAAACUCUGGCUCGUGGCAAAAUCAUUCUCAUACUCAGUUAUCAGGGAUACCUUGGUCGAGGGCUAUCCCAACCGAGUCCGCCAAGGCUAUUAAAAAGUUAUGUAUGCAUAAAUCAUGUUUUUAUUUUAAAAACAUAGCUGUUCCUUAGCAUUGGCUGAGUUCACCCUCACGUGGUGGUUUAGCAUGAAGUGAACUCUAAAGUGCUAACCUCAGGAGUUAUCCAUUCGCGCCUCUCAUACUGAGGUAUGAAUAUAAUAGGGUUAUCGGGCCCCCUCUAAUAGGCUGAUCCACGGAACCCAUCCACUGAAACGACUAAUCAAUAACCCACAAAUUCAAUAAAAUUUAACAGCAUGACAUGGCAAUUUUAUCAUUAUUCAGCCUAUCAAGGCAGACAGCAGUUUAUACAUUUUCAACACAAAUACUAAUUUAGCCAUUCAUGCCAAUAUUGCCAUAAGCCAAUCAAUUAGAACCAUAAAUUCACAAUACAUCAAAUGGUCUCCAAUUACUCUAUUUUCAAAGCCAUCAUUCAAUUUCAAGAUAAUUUAUAAAAUCAUUUCAUUUAAACACAUUUUGUUUAUAAAACAUAAAGAUUUACUAUUUAAACUCAUUUUCCAUAAAAUCACAAAAUCAGAUAAAAACCACUUUAGAUAAUUAAGAUGAUAGUAAGGUUACUGACUAUUUCGAGAGUCGAAUUUCGAGUACUUCGAUUCUUGAUCCUCGGGUACUAUCUCUUUACUUUUGCCAGAAUGCUCACCACCUAGACAUAAUGCACAAUAAGCCAUUUACUACAUUGUGCUAAAUUGUUAUAAAACCAAUUCAGGCUUUAUACUAAUGUAUGAAAUGGGAUACAAAUUGUUUGGAUUAUUGUCUAAACACGGUGUUCUACACAAAUUCAAUUGUAUACCUAAAUUAAAUAGUAUUGGCCUAAUUCGAUCUAUCACUCGAUUAAUUGGCCAAUACGUCCAAUUCAACUCCAAAUAAUUUCAUUUUUCUCCCGAUACUCCAAAUCAUCAAACACAAAUUAAAUAACUUGAAAUAUGGCAAAAUCAUCUUCACAUUUGCUCUUGGAUAAUUCAGCCAUGCUGGGUGCAUCAACACUAUAAUUUUUCCUACUUGAUUCUCACACCAUAAAUCAUUAAUUCCUAACCAAAUCACUUGAAAAAAAAAUCAAAAUCAUCAUCAAUAUUCUACAUGGAGAAUUCGGCCAAUGAUGGGUGAUGGGAGAACAUGAAUUUUUCUUGCUUGAUUUUCAUGCUACACAUCACCAAUCAACUAAAAACACUAAAAUACAUUGAAAUCUAACCAAAUUAAGCAUUAAAACCUUUCUCCUAGGGUUUGAUCAGCACACUAUCCUUCAUGAUAUAUUGUGAUUCAACCAUGGAAAAUGCAAAACAAUGCAUGGGAAAGGUAGAUCACAAGUCAAAAUCAAGAAAUUUUACCUUAGAUUGCUUGAUUACUUGAAAUCCACCAAUUUUCUCUUGAAUUUUCACCCUAGGGUUCUUGUUCUUCCUUUUUCUUCCUUUGUUCUUACUUUGGC
This 15663-nucleotide long non-coding RNA is filed under the name Theobroma cacao (cacao). RNAcentral's name for it is "long non-coding RNA (TCAC_LNC001043)". Lineage: Eukaryota; Viridiplantae; Streptophyta; Magnoliopsida; Malvales; Malvaceae. The record is from RNAcentral.